RNAcentral lists this ribosomal RNA (438 nucleotides) under uncultured bacterium. RNAcentral describes it as "bacterial SSU rRNA". It matches the Rfam family "Bacterial small subunit ribosomal RNA", at positions 28 to 452 of the family's 1533-position model. The record is from RNAcentral.
GACGAACGCUGGCGGCGUGCUUAACACAUGCAAGUCGAACGGGGCGAAGUGAUAGCUUGCUAUUAUGGAGCCUAGUGGCAAACGGGUGAGUAACGCGUAGGCAACCUGCCCUUNAGAUGGGGACAACACCUCGAAAGGGGUGCUAAUACCGAAUGACGUUUCCUAGUCGCAUGACCUGGAAACCAAAGGCCGGGCAACCGGUCACUGAAGGAUGGGCCUGCGUCUGAUUAGGUAGUUGGUGAUGUAACGGACCACCAAGGCGACGAUCAGUAGCCGGCUUGAGAGAGUGAACGGCCACAUUGGGACUGAGACACGGCCCAAACUCCUACGGAGGCAGCAGUGGGGAAUAUUGCACAAUGGGGGAAACCCUGAUGCAGCAACGCCGCGUGAGUGAAGAAGUAUUUCGGUAUGUAAAGCUCUAUCAGCAGGGAAGAAAAU